GCUUGCUUCUUCUGAUUUAGCGGCGGACGGGUGAGUAACACGUGGGCAACCUACCUAGUAGAUUGGGAUAACUCCGGGAAACCGGGGCUAAUACCGAAUAAUCCAUUUUGUCACAUGGCAAAAUGCUGAAAGGCGGUUUCGGCUGUCACUACUAGAUGGGCCCGCGGUGCAUUAGCUAGUUGGUGGGGUAAUGGCCUACCAAGGCAACGAUGCAUAGCCGACCUGAGAGGGUGAUCGGCCACAUUGGGACUGAGACACGGCCCAAACUCCUACGGGAGGCAGCAGUAGGGAAUCUUCCACAAUGGACGAAAGUCUGAUGGAGCAACGCCGCGUGAGUGAUGAAGGUUUUCGGAUCGUAAAACUCUGUUGUAAGGGAAGAACAAGUACGUUAGUAACUGAACGUACCUUGACGGUACCUUAUUAGAAAGCCACGGCUAACUACGUGCCAGCAGCCGCGGUAAUACGUAGGUGGCAAGCGUUGUCCGGAUUUAUUGGGCGUAAAGCGCGCGCAGGUGGUUUCUUAAGUCUGAUGUGAAAGCCCACGGCUCAACCGUGGAGGGUCAUUGGAAACUGGGAGACUUGAGUGCA
Molecule: ribosomal RNA, 588 nt
Filed under: uncultured Bacillus sp.
Lineage: Bacteria; Bacillati; Bacillota; Bacilli; Caryophanales; Bacillaceae
Description: bacterial SSU rRNA
Rfam family: Bacterial small subunit ribosomal RNA
Source: RNAcentral